AUUGAACGCUGGCGAAAUGCUUUACACAUGCAAGUCGAACGGCAGCACGGACUUCGGUCUGGUGGCGAGUGGCGAACGGGUGAGUAAUGUAUCGGAACGUGCCCAGUCGUGGGGGAUAACGUAGUGAAAAUUACGCUAAUACCGCAUACGAUCUAUGGAUGAAAGCGGGGGAUCGCAAGACCUCGCGCGAUUGGAGCGGCCGAUAUCAGAUUAGGUAGUUGGUGGGGUAAAGGCCCACCAAGCCAACGAUCUGCAGCUGGUCUGAGAGGACGACCAGCCACACUGGAACUGAGACACGGUCCAGACUCCUACGGGAGGCAGCAGUGGGGAAUUUUGGACAAUGGGCGAAAGCCUGAUCCAGCCAUUCCGCGUGCAGGAUGAAGGCCCUCGGGUUGUAAACUGCUUUUGUACAGAACGAAAAGGUUUCUACUAAUACUAGGAGCUCAUGACGGUACUGUAAGAAUAAGCACCGGCUAACUACGUGCCAGCAGCCGCGGUAA
Molecule: ribosomal RNA, 500 nt
Filed under: uncultured bacterium
Lineage: Bacteria
Description: partial 16S ribosomal RNA
Rfam family: Bacterial small subunit ribosomal RNA
Source: RNAcentral